RNAcentral lists this ribosomal RNA (253 nucleotides) under uncultured bacterium. RNAcentral describes it as "partial 16S ribosomal RNA". It matches the Rfam family "Bacterial small subunit ribosomal RNA", at positions 524 to 776 of the family's 1533-position model. The record is from RNAcentral.
UACAGAGGGUGCAAGCGUUGUUCGGAAUUAUUGGGCGUAAAGCGCGUGUAGGCGGCUUUGCAAGUCGGGUGUGAAAGCCCUCAGCUCAACUGAGGAAGUGCGCCCGAAACUGCAGAGCUUGAGUACCGGAGAGGAUGGUGGAAUUCCCGAAGUAGAGGUGAAAUUCGUAGAUAUCGGGAGGAACACCGGUGGCGAAGGCGACCAUCUGGACGGAUACUGACGCUGAGACGCGAAAGCGUGGGUAGCAAACAGG